RNAcentral lists this ribosomal RNA (497 nucleotides) under uncultured bacterium. RNAcentral's name for it is "partial 16S ribosomal RNA". It matches the Rfam family "Bacterial small subunit ribosomal RNA", at positions 28 to 507 of the family's 1533-position model. The record is from RNAcentral.
GAUGAGCGCUGGCGGCGUGCCUAAUACAUGCAAGUCGAGCGAACAGACGAGGAGCUUGCUCCUUUGACGUUAGCGGCGGACGGGUGAGUAACACGUGGAUAACCUACCUAUAAGACUGGGAUAACUUCGGGAAACCGGAGCUAAUACCGGAUAACAUGUUGAACCGCAUGGUUCAACAGUGAAAGACGGUCUUGCUGUCACUUAUAGAUGGAUCCGCGCCGCAUUAGCUAGUUGGUAAGGUAACGGCUUACCAAGGCAACGAUGCGUAGCCGACCUGAGAGGGUGAUCGGCCACACUGGAACUGAGACACGGUCCAGACGCCUACGGGAGGCAGCAGUAGGGAAUCUUCCGCAAUGGGCGAAAGCCUGACGGAGCAACGCCGCGUGAGUGAAGAAGGUCUUCGGAUCGUAAAACUCUGUUAUUAGGGAAGAACAAAUGUGUAAGUAACUAUGCACGUCUUGACGGUACCUAAUCAGAAAGCCACGGCUAACUACGUG